RNAcentral lists this ribosomal RNA (549 nucleotides) under uncultured Glomus. RNAcentral describes it as "SSU rRNA". It matches the Rfam family "Eukaryotic small subunit ribosomal RNA", at positions 548 to 1098 of the family's 1831-position model. Lineage: Eukaryota; Fungi; Glomeromycota; Glomeromycetes; Glomerales; Glomeraceae. The record is from RNAcentral.
UUGGAGGGCAAGUCUGGUGCCAGCAGCCGCGGUAAUUCCAGCUCCAAUAGCGUAUAUUAAAGUUGUUGCAGUUAAAAAGCUCGUAGUUGAAUUUCGGGGUCAGUAGGUUGGUCAUGCCACUGGUAUGUACUGAUCUUACUGAUUCCUCCUUCCUGAUGAACCGUAAUGCCAUUAAUUUGGUGUUGCGGGGAGACUGGACUGUUACUUUGAAAAAAUUAGAGUGUUUAAAGCAGGCUAACGCUUGAAUACAUUAGCAUGGAAUAAUGAAAUAGGAUGUUCGAUCCUAUUUUGUUGGUUUCUAGGGUUGACGUAAUGAUUAAUAGGGAUAGUUGGGGGCAUUAGUAUUCAAUUGUCAGAGGUGAAAUUCUUGGAUUUAUUGAAGACUAACUACUGCGAAAGCAUUUGCCAAGGAUGUUUUCAUUAAUCAAGAACGAAAGUUAGGGGAUCGAAGACGAUCAGAUACCAUCGUAGUCUUAACCAUAAACUAUGCCGACUAGGGAUCGGAUGAUGUUAAUUUUUUAAUGACUCAUUCGGCGCCUUACGGGAAAC